Molecule: non-coding RNA, 667 nt
Organism: Leptonychotes weddellii (Weddell seal)
Lineage: Eukaryota; Metazoa; Chordata; Mammalia; Carnivora; Phocidae
Source: RefSeq, a predicted model, not a curated record
CAGAUUGGCUUUCUGGGCGUGGGAGGUUCCUUCUAUUAGUGCUGCUAGAGAGAAAGAAACAGGUUUGCUCUCGUCGCAGAAGGAGUUUAUUUAUUCAACACACGUUUGGUGGGUGCUUAUUGUGAGCCAAGAUACAAAGUCAAAGAAGAUACCAGCCCUGCUUUCAAGGAGCUCCCAGACUGGUGGAAGAAAUAGAGGAGUAGGUGGUCAUCCUGCAAUGAAAGGGGGCGGAGCUACAGGAAUUGGGGUUGUCGGAGCAGCAUACCUGCAGGAGAUACCAAUGUCUCGGUCACAUUAAAUAGUAAGCUAAUGUUUAAGUCUCCUUAAACAUUCAACGCGACCUCCAAGGCAAAGUUGCUGUUGUAGGUGGGCAGCUACGUGGGGUGGGAUAAAGGGUAGAGUUAGCCUUCAGUCACUGAUGAGCCUUCCAAAGUUCAUUUCUCCAUCGAUCUGGAGUUUGAAACCUACUUUGUCAUGGAAGUAGUAGGUGAGGUUUUUCAGGUCACCUCCCAAAUGUCCCUGAAAUGAUACACUAUGUUUACCUGAAGUGAUAUACUCUUGCGUUCAUGUUAUGUUAAUCCAAAUGAAUUAUAGAAGCGUAGUUGCUAAAUAUAGCCAGAUUUAUGUUCCAUCAGCCAGUUGCUUUACUCUCAAGUCCUCAAUACCA